CUAUGAUAUUGCGCUUUUAACGAAAGAAUCAAAUGAUUGAACAUUCCAAACUGUGUUGCAACAUUUAUUUGGUAUUAGAAUUGUGAUACUAAACAGCUGGAGGGGAGGAAAGUGAGACAGAACAUUGGACAGUGCUGAGUUACACCCAGGCAGCACUAGUUGCAGAAGGGGAUGAAGGUUCAGCCUCUUGUUCUGGCACCAGACUUCAGCAGCACUCUUUUGUAGUCCCUUCUCCCCACACCACAGCAGAGAGGCAGUAGAUCCCAACACUGCAAACCUCACAGAGUAUUUCAAGUUUCGUGUGGAACUCCCAGAGAAUACUCACUUAAAGCUCUUUUAAGUGGGAGGUACCAUAUUAAUUAUCAAGUACAGUAUUACACUAUUUUGUUAUUUUCUAUUCACGAUCACAUUUGGAAAGAAACUUCCCACCACGCCUGUAAAAGAAUUGAGCUGAUUAGUUGGUACUUUACAAAGUGUAUGACUAAAGAUGAACAAUGUUGUAUCCAGCCAUCGUUUCUACUAUUUAUCAAGCAAGUCAAUACCAUCCGGCAUGGUAAACGAGGUAACAUAAGUGUCCAUCGGGCAGCAAACAAGAAGAGAUACACGGGUAUAUGCAAUUCCGGACGAAUUGCGCCUUUUUUUCGACCGUUUUAGGAUUCAACAUUACUUGACAGCCGAAACCCUCCACCCGGGACCAUGAAUUCGACAUAUUCAAUACAUAACUCAUUCGACACUCCCCUUGUCGAAUAACGGACCAAUCGUCGAGUAGUGGGCGUCCUGGAUUCGACUUCCCGCCGUUUGGAGCCCUUUAUAGGACUUGUUUGCUGCGUGCUCAGCAGCCAUUUUGUGAACCUGCAGGGAGGUGUGUGGAGGUGCAGAGCUAGCAAAUUGAUUGUUGUUUGCUGUGGUAUCGUUUGUACACCCAGCAGGCUUUAAUCCAGGACGGACAGGAUACCUGUUACCCCGGAGGAGAGUCAUUUUUGGAGCGAUUUCUACAUUUGUAGGUAAGUACCACAUGUGGUCUGGCGUUGCAUGUAUGUGUUUGUGUAGUGGGGGGGUGCCAUGAGGUGUACAUGUGGCGUUGCUUUGGGGUGUUUGGGGUAUGUAUAUGUGUGCAGGUAUGUGUAUAUAGGUCCUGUUUGGAUUACUGCAGGUCCUGCUUGUAUCGCUGCAUGUUUUUUUUGGAGUUUUAUGUUUGGGGGUAGUUUUUCAAAAAUUUUUUUCAUAAAAUGUUUUUUGGGUCAUGCUUUUGCAUUGUUGUACCUCCAGCAUGUGCAGGGAUGCUUUUUGGCUUGUUUGGGGUGACUUUUGAG
Long non-coding RNA from Pseudophryne corroboree (corroboree frog), 1313 nucleotides. RefSeq lists it as uncharacterized. Lineage: Eukaryota; Metazoa; Chordata; Amphibia; Anura; Myobatrachidae. The record is from RefSeq and is a predicted model, not a curated record. The transcript has 3 exons.